GCGCAGCAGUCGAGAAUCUCCGCAAUACACGAAAGUGUGACGGGGCCAUCCCGAGUGCCGUCCGCUGAGGACGGCUUUUCCCCAGUGUACACAGCUGGGGGAAUAAGGAGAGGGCAAGCCUGGUGUCAGCCGCCGCGGUAAUACCAGCUCUCCGAGUGGUGGGGACGCUUAUUGGGCCUAAAGCAUCCGUAGCCGGCUGGGCAAGUCCUCCGUUAAAUCCAACGAUUCAAUCGUUGGGCUGCGGGGGAUACUGUCCAGCUUGGGGGCGGGAGAGGCCGACGGUAUUCCCGGGGUAGGGGUGAAAUCCUAUAAUCCCGGGAGGACCACCAGUGGCGAAGGCUGUCGGCUAGAACGCGCCCGACGGUGAGGGAUGAAAGCUGGGGGAGCGAACCGGAUUAGAUA
This 402-nucleotide ribosomal RNA is filed under the name uncultured microorganism. Its description in RNAcentral is "bacterial SSU rRNA". It matches the Rfam family "Archaeal small subunit ribosomal RNA", at positions 330 to 735 of the family's 1478-position model. The record is from RNAcentral.